AAGACAUAGCAGCAUAUUUCAAAGGAGCCGAGACCUGAAGCAGACACCUCAAUGUGCUCCUCUUCUGCAGCUUUGAGAAACUGGCUCGGCAGGAACGUCCCUGUAGGUCUGUUUAUGAGCUCUCAGAAGUCUGUAUGGUGUGUGUGUGUGUGUCAGUGUGUGUCAGUGUGUGUCAGUGUGUGUCAGUGUGUGUGUGUGUGUGUGUGAGAGAGAGAUAGAGGGGUGGUGGUAGGUAAGACCUAGAAAUGUACCUGAUAGUGAUCAGCCACCCAUUCCUCUAUCAAACCAGCCAGCCCUGUUCUUCUGCAGAACAAAGACAAUUACACCUGCAGCACACACAGCUGCUCCACAUGGACCUACACCGCCACAGCUGUGUCCCUGGAGCUCAAUGGCAAGGUCACGUACAGUAGUGUGAGGGGCCACAGCUGUGUCACUGGAGCUCAAUGGCAAGGUCACAUACAGCAGUGUGAGGGGUCACAUACAGCAGUGUGAGGGGUCACAUACAGCAGUGUGAGGGGUCACAUACAGCAGUGUGAGGGGUCACGUACAGCAGUGUGAGGGGCCACAGCUGUGAAGGUAGUGGGGGGGUGAGGGGAGGAGGGAGCAGUCUUUAAACUUAAGAGCAACUCUGUAUGAAAUGGCAUGAGCUUAUCCCUGUCACAUAAGGGUAAAAAUAAAAUGAAAAAGACACAGGGACAGAUGCAUCACAGCAACGUGUUUCUAUUCUUAUCCCCUAAUGUCUCAUUGAUUUAAGUAUGGGCCAAACUCUGCCUGCGCUGGAAAAGCCUUCAAAUCUAAUUUGAGGCAGCAUCCUACAAAGAGCAGCUGUGAAAAAAAAAACAGUGACGAGAGACAGAGUCUGCCGCCAUAUGACGAUGCCAAUGUCUGUGACUGGAUUCAAAGUCAGUGCCUACACUGUGAUUUUAUUUCCACAAAUGAUCCAUUUAAGAUGAUGACUAUAAUUCAUACAAACCUCCACGGCUUCAGAACCAUCGGUUACCAAACCCCUUCUGUAGAAACCCUAUCACCUUCAACAUAAGCGGGUCCAUUAAAGUACUUUUACCACUCUUGCCGUCCAAUGGGUCACAAAAGUCACCGGCUCCAAAGUUCAGCUGAAGUGCUAAAGGUGUACGCUUGACAGAGAGCACCGCGUAGAUGUUUACACCCACCCCAGGUGGAGAGCAUAGCUCCCAGCGGCCCCGGCCCCGGCCCCGGGCAUACCUCAAAGCCUCCCCGGAAUCUGUCUCCUCUCUGUGACACAAAGAGCACAUGUGUCAAAGCUACAGCGUGGUGCUCUAGCCUUACAUCCAGUGGGCCUUAGAAAGCAGCAGUCGCCUGCCAUGUUUUGUAAGCGCUGAAUGAGAAACAUGAGACUGGGGGUGUCCAGGUGAAAGGGGGUGUGUGUGUGUGUGUGUGUGUGUGUGUGUGCAACACUCCUCUCCCCAAACACAGACACACGACAGAGCUUUGCCAAGCAGGGUUUGCACUGAAACCCAACACCACCACAGGGAGCACAAUGGGCAUUCGGUGUAACGCAUGCCGUAAUGGAUCAAGGUACAGUGACAAGGGAUGCAGGCUAUGAGAAAAGAGUGUGUGUGUGUGUGUGUGUGUGUGUGUGUGU
Long non-coding RNA from Clupea harengus (Atlantic herring), 1621 nucleotides. The record is from Ensembl. Lineage: Eukaryota; Metazoa; Chordata; Actinopteri; Clupeiformes; Clupeidae.